UGGGAUGUAAUUAGUGAGUCACCAGGUGAAGGUGUUACAGAAGGGAGAGCAAAAACCUAUAAAAACAGGACUCACAGGCUGCCUGGGUUUGGGAGGAGGUGAGAAGAUGCGCCCUAGGAAGCUGCAUGGCCUGAUUUGAGGUCUUGCGAAGGACAGCAAGGAGCAGCUCACCUCCAGCCAGGAGCAGACAAGGAGCUGACAAAUGCCUGUGGCUGUGCUGGGAAAAGGCUCCCCGAGGAAAUACCGAUAAGCGGCAGGGAUGCUGCACUUCUGGGCAUCCCUGUGAUGGCCCAAAGCAGCUGUGCUGGGGAGGAAGGAGCCUGAAUCCACCCUGCAGCCCCAGGCCACCCGAGCUUAUA
RNAcentral lists this long non-coding RNA (359 nucleotides) under Anser brachyrhynchus (Pink-footed goose). RNAcentral describes it as "lncRNA (ENSABRG00000022731.1)". Lineage: Eukaryota; Metazoa; Chordata; Aves; Anseriformes; Anatidae. The record is from RNAcentral.